RNAcentral lists this ribosomal RNA (460 nucleotides) under uncultured bacterium. RNAcentral's name for it is "partial 16S ribosomal RNA". It matches the Rfam family "Bacterial small subunit ribosomal RNA", at positions 338 to 795 of the family's 1533-position model. The record is from RNAcentral.
CCUACGGGGAGCAGCAGUGAGGAAUAUUGGUCAAUGGACGAGAGUCUGAACCAGCCAAGUAGCGUGAAGGAUGACUGCCCUAUGGGUUGUAAACUUCUUUUAUAUGGGAAUAAAAUGUUCCACGUGUGGGAUUUUGUAUGUACCAUAUGAAUAAGGAUCGGCUAACUCCGUGCCAGCAGCAGCGGUAAUACGGAGGAUCCGAGCGUUAUCAGGAUUUAUUGGGUUUAACGGGCGCGUAGGUGGAUUGUUAAGUCAGUUGUGAAAGUUUGCGGCUCAACCGUAAAAUUGCAGUUGAAACUGGCAGUCUGGAGUACAGUAGAGGUAGGCGGAAUUCGUGGUGUAGCGGUGAAAUGCUUAGAUAUCACGAAGAACUCCGAUUGCGAAGGCAGCUCACUGGACUGCAACUGACACUGAGGCUCGAAAGUGUGGGUAUCAAACAGGAUUAGAUACCCUUGUAGUC